This 253-nucleotide ribosomal RNA is filed under the name uncultured bacterium. RNAcentral's name for it is "partial 16S ribosomal RNA". It matches the Rfam family "Bacterial small subunit ribosomal RNA", at positions 524 to 776 of the family's 1533-position model. The record is from RNAcentral.
UACGAGUGCUCCAAGCGUUAUCCGGAAUCAUUGGGCGUAAAGGGUGCGUAGGUGGUUGUGUUAGUCUUCUGUCAAAUUCUUCGGCUUAACCGGGGGUCCGCAGAGGAAACGGCACAACUAGAGGAUGCGAGAGGUGAAUGGAACUCAUGGAGUAGGGGUGAAAUCCGUUGAUAUCAUGGGGAACACCAAAAGCGAAGGCAAUUCACUGGCGCACUCCUGACACUGAGACACGAAAGCGUAGGUAGCGAAUGGG